Molecule: transfer RNA, 84 nt
Filed under: Halanaerobiaceae bacterium
Lineage: Bacteria; Bacillati; Bacillota; Clostridia; Halanaerobiales; Halanaerobiaceae
Description: tRNA-Leu
Rfam family: tRNA
About the family: Transfer RNA (tRNA) molecules are approximately 80 nucleotides in length.
Source: RNAcentral
GCCGAAGUGGCGGAAUUGGCAGACGCGCUGGACUCAAAAUCCAGUGAGCUCCGGCUCAUAAGGGUUCGACCCCCUUCUUCGGCA